CGGCGAGUGAAGCGGGAUGAGCUCAAAUUUGAAAGCUGGCAGUAAUGUCCGCGUUGUAAUCUCGAGAAAUGUUUUCCGCGUUGGACCACGUACAAGUUCCUUGGAAUAGGAUGUCAUAGAGGGUGAAAAUCCCGUACUUGAUGUGGACGCCCAGUGCUUUGUGAUACAUUUUCGAAGAGUCGAGUUGUUUGGGAAUGCAGCUCAAAAUGGGUGGUAAAUUCCAUCUAAAGCUAAAUAUUGGGGAGAGACCGAUAGCGAACAAGUACCGUGAGGGAAAGAUGAAAAGCACUUUGGAAAGAGAGUUAAACAGUACGUGAAAUUGUCUAAAGGGAAGCAUUUGAAGUCAGACGUGUAUUGUAGUAUUCAGCCUUGCUUUUGCUUGGUGUAUUUGCUAUAUUACAGGCCAACAUCAGUUUUGAGUGACGGAUAAGGGUAGAGAGAAUGUGGCACCUUCGGGUGUGUUAUAGCUCUUUACUGGAUACGUCGUUUGGGACUGAGGAACGCAGCGCGCCGUAAGGCAGACCUUCGGGUACUUUCGCGCUUAGGAUGUUGGCGUAAUGGCUUUA
Molecule: ribosomal RNA, 566 nt
Filed under: Exobasidium cylindrosporum
Lineage: Eukaryota; Fungi; Basidiomycota; Exobasidiomycetes; Exobasidiales; Exobasidiaceae
Description: LSU rRNA
Rfam family: Eukaryotic large subunit ribosomal RNA
Source: RNAcentral